This 57-nucleotide transfer RNA is filed under the name Ovis aries (sheep). It matches the Rfam family "tRNA", at positions 8 to 63 of the family's 71-position model. Rfam says of the family: Transfer RNA (tRNA) molecules are approximately 80 nucleotides in length. Lineage: Eukaryota; Metazoa; Chordata; Mammalia; Artiodactyla; Bovidae. The record is from Rfam by way of RNAcentral.
UGGCUCAGACGGUAAAGCGUCUGCCUGAAAUGCGGGAGACCCGGGUUCGAUUCCUGG